RNAcentral lists this ribosomal RNA (536 nucleotides) under uncultured Desulfatirhabdium sp. Its description in RNAcentral is "bacterial SSU rRNA". It matches the Rfam family "Bacterial small subunit ribosomal RNA", at positions 8 to 516 of the family's 1533-position model. Lineage: Bacteria; Pseudomonadati; Thermodesulfobacteriota; Desulfobacteria; Desulfobacterales; Desulfatirhabdiaceae. The record is from RNAcentral.
AGAGUUUGAUCCUGGCUCAGAAUGAACGCUGGCGGCGUGCUUAACACAUGCAAGUCGUACGAGAAAUCCUCUGCUUGCAGGGGAGAGUAAAGUGGCGCACGGGUGAGUAUCGCGUGGGUAAUCUACCCUUGAAUUCAGGAUAACAUUUCGAAAGGGGUGCUAAUACUGGAUAACAUCCUGAUGGUUUCGGCCAUAAGGAUCAAAGAUAGCCUCUACAUGUAAGCUAUAGUUCAGGGAUGAGCCCGCGUACCAUUAGCUAGUUGGUGGGGUAAGAGCCUACCAAGGCAACGAUGGUUAGCUGGUCUGAGAGGAUGAUCAGCCACACUGGAACUGAAACACGGUCCAGACUCCUACGGGAGGCAGCAGUGAGGAAUUUUGCGCAAUGGGGGAAACCCUGACGCAGCAACGCCGCGUGAGUGAAGAAGGCUUUCGGGUCGUAAAGCUCUGUCAAGAGGGAAGAAAGUGGGAGAUGGUAAUACUGUUUUCUAUUGACGGUACCUCUGAAGGAAGCACCGGCUAACUCCGUGCCAGCAGCC